This 790-nucleotide ribosomal RNA is filed under the name Pediococcus pentosaceus. RNAcentral describes it as "bacterial SSU rRNA". It matches the Rfam family "Bacterial small subunit ribosomal RNA", at positions 82 to 858 of the family's 1533-position model. Lineage: Bacteria; Bacillati; Bacillota; Bacilli; Lactobacillales; Lactobacillaceae. The record is from RNAcentral.
UAACACGAAGUGAGUGGCGAACGGGUGAGUAACACGUGGGUAACCUGCCCAGAAGUAGGGGAUAACACCUGGAAACAGAUGCUAAUACCGUAUAACAGAGAAAACCGCAUGGUUUUCUUUUAAAAGAUGGCUCUGCUAUCACUUCUGGAUGGACCCGCGGCGUAUUAGCUAGUUGGUGAGGUAAAGGCUCACCAAGGCAGUGAUACGUAGCCGACCUGAGAGGGUAAUCGGCCACAUUGGGACUGAGACACGGCCCAGACUCCUACGGGAGGCAGCAGUAGGGAAUCUUCCACAAUGGACGCAAGUCUGAUGGAGCAACGCCGCGUGAGUGAAGAAGGGUUUCGGCUCGUAAAGCUCUGUUGUUAAAGAAGAACGUGGGUAAGAGUAACUGUUUACCCAGUGACGGUAUUUAACCAGAAAGCCACGGCUAACUACGUGCCAGCAGCCGCGGUAAUACGUAGGUGGCAAGCGUUAUCCGGAUUUAUUGGGCGUAAAGCGAGCGCAGGCGGUCUUUUAAGUCUAAUGUGAAAGCCUUCGGCUCAACCGAAGAAGUGCAUUGGAAACUGGGAGACUUGAGUGCAGAAGAGGACAGUGGAACUCCAUGUGUAGCGGUGAAAUGCGUAGAUAUAUGGAAGAACACCAGUGGCGAAGGCGGCUGUCUGGUCUGCAACUGACGCUGAGGCUCGAAAGCAUGGGUAGCGAACAGGAUUAGAUACCCUGGUAGUCCAUGCCGUAAACGAUGAUUACUAAGUGUUGGAGGGUUUCCGCCCUUCAGUGCUGCAGCUAACGC